CUGGCGGCGUGCCUAACACAUGCAAGUCGAGCGAGGAGAUCCUUCGGGAUGAUCCUAGCGGCGGACGGGUGAGUAACACGUGGGCAACCUGCCUCAUAGAGAGGAAUAGCCUUCCGAAAGGGAGAUUAAUACCUCAUAACAUUGCAGUUUCGCAUGGAACAGCAAUUAAAGGAGCAAUCCGCUAUGAGAUGGGCCCGCGGCGCAUUAGCUAGUUGGUGAGGUAACGGCUCACCAAGGCGACGAUGCGUAGCCGACCUGAGAGGGUGAUCGGCCACAUUGGGACUGAGACACGGCCCAGACUCCUACGGGAGGCAGCAGUGGGGAAUAUUGCACAAUGGGGGAAACCCUGAUGCAAGCAACGCCGCGUGAGUGAUGACGGCCUUCGGGUUGUAAAGCUCUGUCUUCAGGGACGAUAAUGACGGUACCUGAGGAGGAAGCCACGGCUAACUACGUGCCAGCCGCAGC
RNAcentral lists this ribosomal RNA (465 nucleotides) under uncultured bacterium. RNAcentral describes it as "bacterial SSU rRNA". It matches the Rfam family "Bacterial small subunit ribosomal RNA", at positions 36 to 518 of the family's 1533-position model. The record is from RNAcentral.